RNAcentral lists this ribosomal RNA (910 nucleotides) under uncultured bacterium. RNAcentral's name for it is "bacterial SSU rRNA". It matches the Rfam family "Bacterial small subunit ribosomal RNA", at positions 66 to 972 of the family's 1533-position model. The record is from RNAcentral.
GCAGCAUGAACUUAGCUUGCUAAGUUUGAUGGCGACCGGCGCACGGGUGAGUAACACGUAUCCAACCUGCCGAUGACUCGGGGAUAGCCUUUCGAAAGAAAGAUUAAUACCCGAUGGCAUAGUUCUUCCGCAUGGUAGAACUAUUAAAGAAUUUCGGUCAUCGAUGGGGAUGCGUUCCAUUAGGUUGUUGGCGGGGUAACGGCCCACCAAGCCUUCGAUGGAUAGGGGUUCUGAGAGGAAGGUCCCCCACAUUGGAACUGAGACACGGUCCAAACUCCUACGGGAGGCAGCAGUGAGGAAUAUUGGUCAAUGGACGAGAGUCUGAACCAGCCAAGUAGCGUGAAGGAUGACUGCCCUAUGGGUUGUAAACUUCUUUUAUACGGGAAUAAAGUGAGGCACGUGUGCCUUUUUGUAUGUACCGUAUGAAUAAGGAUCGGCUAACUCCGUGCCAGCAGCCGCGGUAAUACGGAGGAUCCGAGCGUUAUCCGGAUUUAUUGGGUUUAAAGGGAGCGUAGGCGGACGCUUAAGUCAGUUGUGAAAGUUUGCGGCUCAACCGUAAAAUUGCAGUUGAUACUGGGUGUCUUGAGUACAGUAGAGGCAGGCGGAAUUCGUGGUGUAGCGGUGAAAUGCUUAGAUAUCACGAAGAACUCCGAUUGCGAAGGCAGCUUGCUGGACUGUAACUGACGCUGAUGCUCGAAAGUGUGGGUAUCAAACAGGAUUAGAUACCCUGGUAGUCCACACAGUAAACGAUGAAUACUCGCUGUUUGCGAUAUACAGUAAGCGGCCAAGCGAAAGCGUUAAGUAUUCCACCUGGGGAGUACGCCGGCAACGGUGAAACUCAAAGGAAUUGACGGGGGCCCGCACAAGCGGAGGAACAUGUGGUUUAAUUCGAUGAUACGCGAGGAACCUU